Molecule: ribosomal RNA, 397 nt
Filed under: uncultured bacterium
Lineage: Bacteria
Description: partial 16S ribosomal RNA
Rfam family: Bacterial small subunit ribosomal RNA
Source: RNAcentral
AUACGUAGGGGGCGAGCGUUGUCCGGAAUGAUUGGGCGUAAAGGGCGCGUAGGCGGCGCGGUAAGUCUGGAGUGAAAGUCCUGCUUUCAAGGUGGGAAUUGCUUUGGAUACUGCCGCGCUUGAGUGCAGGAGAGGUUAUCGGAAUUCCCGGUGUAGCGGUGAAAUGCGUAGAGAUCGGGAGGAACACCAGUGGCGAAGGCGGGUAACUGGACUGCAACUGACGCUGAGGCGCGAAAGUGUGGGGAGCAAACAGGAUUAGAUACCCUGGUAGUCCACACUGUAAACGAUGAAUGCUAGGUGUAAGAGGUAUCGACCCCUUUUGUGCCGGAGUCAACACAAUAAGCAUUCCGCCUGAGGAGUACGGCCGUAAGGUUGAAACUCAAAUGAAUUGACGGGG